Bolinopsis microptera is the source of this 439-nucleotide long non-coding RNA. RefSeq lists it as uncharacterized. The transcript has 2 exons. The record is from RefSeq and is a predicted model, not a curated record. NCBI's taxonomy places the organism in Eukaryota, Metazoa, Ctenophora, Tentaculata, Lobata, Bolinopsidae.
CACAUAUGUGUCCCAGUUCGAAAAUCCGCCGAUUUUAAGUCUCUCCUUGGUGGGGAGCAUUGCAUUUUUUGUCUACUUGAUUCGAGCUAUGUCCCAAGUUAAUUCCAUCCCUGAAAAGGUUAAAAGAUUCAAGCAAGAGGAGGUCAGAGCAGUGGAAGUAUUUCUCAAGAGCUCGAUAGUUAGUAAUUGAUAUUUCAAGUACAUUCAAUUAUCCCAUAUAACAAUUUGUUUGAGCAGCAGUGGGAAAUUUGGACCCAAGUUUUAAAACACUUUUUAUCAAACGUAAAAUUGAACCAGUAGAAGUUUUUUAGACCUGUAGAUUUUUAAUGUUAGCUUUUGUAUUUCAAUCCUGAUUUUAGAGAUAUAAUAUUUGACAUUUGUGGUUUGAAUGUUAAUUGAUUGUAUCAUUAUAAAUUUUAACCAUAUUUAAUUGCAGUAC